This is a small nuclear RNA of Ochotona princeps (American pika), 107 nucleotides long. The record is from RefSeq and is a predicted model, not a curated record. Lineage: Eukaryota; Metazoa; Chordata; Mammalia; Lagomorpha; Ochotonidae.
GUGCUGGCUUCAGCAGCACAUAUAAUAAAAUUGGAAUGAUACAGAGAAGAUUAGCACGGCCCGUCUGUAAGGAUGACAUGUAAAUUCGUAAGGCAUUCCAUAUUAAA